UCUGCCUUCCAAGUGCUGGGAUUACAGGUUUGUGCCACCGAGGCCUGGCUCUGUUUCUAUUUUUAUGUUACUUCAAAUUGACAUCUGACCUAGGGCAAAGGCAGCUGGAAACUUCCUUUUGGACUUAUCUUUUUUUGUUUUGUGUUUAUGUUUCACAUAGUAGAAAACUGCUAGGCAGCUUAAUUUAGAUACAAGGAACCAGAUAACAGAAAACUAACCUCCCCUGUGCACUCCCAGCAUGCCUUUCCUCCUCUGAGCACAGGCCUGAUUUUCACUUACAAAGUUAACUUUCCUACUCAAUAAAGUAUGGUUAGAGAAAGGAUGGUUUAAAAAAAAAAAAGUGAUGUAUGUUUUUCCACUCUAAAGGAAAAGGUAAAUCAUAGAAUGGGGGUCUGGAACAAGAAUCCCCACAGCUUGGCCCAUUUCACUGUAUCCCCAGGCUCGCUCACACUCAGGUAAGGGGCCUGGGCUUCUCUCCUUUCUUCAACUGCAGCCCCCAUGUUCUUAUGUGAUGUUCAGGAACAGGAACUUGGGAGUCUACAAAUGGUUAAAUGAACCUUUGGCUAGAAGUGGCUUGUCUUCAAGCUGAAGGAAGCUUUGUCUAUUGGCGUCUGUCUUCUUUGGGAAGGAAUCUGUACCAGCCCCCAGCAGAGGGAUGGUUUUCUUACUGGCUCUAGGUUAAGGAGAAGCCUUAGAUGACAUGUGGAGAAAUAACACCAAUGGUAACACCUUCCACCUCUACCUUCUGUCUCUCUGGAGUCCCACUAAAUGUUCUGAUCCCUAUCGUUUUCAUGCUUUGCUUUGGAGCCAGCCAGCAAAGGAGCUCGCUGGCUUGGAUGUUCAUGGGUGGUGGGGGUCAAUAGUCUGAGGAGGGGAAGGUCUGGAAAGCAGUUUUCCUUGGUAGAAUCUGGGGCUCAGCUGAAACCUGCAUGCCCAGAAGAAGACCAGGCACCCCUCCCCUCCCUUUUUUUUUCUGAUCCUGAGGUGGACACUCCUAGAUCAGUAGGAGCUCCCAUUUUGGAUUCAUUAGGAAAUGGUUUAUAAAGCCCAUGCCUGAGGGUUGAAGAAGAGAAAUCGCAGUAUUUAUUUUCCUGGAGUAUAUGAAUCUGAUGAAAAUAUUCUGUGGGAGCCUGUCAAAGAGACACGUAGGAACAUCCUCCUCCUCCAGCUGCUGCUGCUGCUGCUGCUGAGAGGAGUUAUUUUGCAAAUUGGUUUUCUCUUUGGACUGCUAAGAUUUUCUCCCAUCUUGCUGGCACAUUUUUAUUCUCUUCCUCACAUUUCAAUGUGUGUUUUUAAAUAUGUGCGUGUGGGUCAUUUUGCUUAGUAUCUGUAGCGCUUCCUUUUCUCCCGUCAAGAUUUUGUGUCUCUGCCUAAGACUCAGGGAUUUCUGCGCAUGCUUGGCCCGCUUGUGCUGCCUUCUUCCUGGCUGGUCUUAAGGUCCAUGCUCCUCUGACCUCCUCCUACUGUGGGCAGUCUCCUGAAGGGCGCAUCUGGGUAGGUUUGAUACAAAGUUUUAAGCUUGCCCCAGGUUUCAAGACUGUUUCUCUGGUAAUGCUCCCUGCCUGUUAACACGGACCGACCGAGUCUCUGCUCUCUGGACUGAUUUAUGGUUGUAUUAGGGAAAACUCUACCUGGGAUAUAAAAUACAGUGUCCCAUGCGUGGGCCUGAUCUUAGGCGCUAUCGGUGAUUGCAAGUGCGUUUUAUAACCCUGUGCCAAAUCGAAAUCAAGGUGAUUUGUGCAUCAAUCUCCCGGAUAAAAUCAGGGCAUGCUCUAUUGCAGUCUGACCUUCCUAGUGCCUUUUUUGGUAUGGCUUGCCCAUGCGCCUUGGACAAUUGCCAGAACUGUAUCACCAGCUGUAUCGAAAGGCUUAACUGCUCGCCCUGGAGUCUCCCCAGAAGAGGAGGCUCCUGAGGGCUUUGUAGCAUGAAGAUGCUGUAGGCAACUCCUUGGGCCUUCUCAUACAAGCUUUCAAAGCAACCCUGACCUCCCCUGCUAUUCGAAGAAAUGGACUCUACGGCCAGCUGGCAGAACCGUGUCCCAGAGAAAGCAGGCACACCACAGGCUCCCUCUGCCUUGUACAUAACCCCAAGAACUCGGCUGGUGUCGGCCAGAGAAGUCAUCCACUUUUAAAAUGAGCAGGGACAAGAAAAUUGCUUCUUUCACUCUCGCCGCUGCCACUGUCAACCGUUGGUCCUUCUUGUAGUUGUCAGGACUUUGAGAAACACCCGAGUCCCUCUGUCAAGUUCCGGCUCUAGCUGCGCUCUCCAUGAUACAGUACAAGUCUGGCAGGGUGACAGCAGUUUCGAACAGAUUGGUGGAAAUGAUAGAUUUUGGGGAAGUGAAGUCUCUUCGUGCUGCUGCUGGUCGGAGCAGGUAUUUGGGAUAAAUAUUUUUAAGUUAGGCUUUUGUAACUAUAAUCUGAGUUUCUCAACUUAUAUUUAACCCAAACUUAUUUUUAAGGUAAUUUCACCUCUUGAUUUCAUAGCCUUUCAUAGCCGAGGGAGGAGUUCAGUUGUCUCUACAAGUGCCACGGCCUGCUUUGUGAAACCCCUUUAAGAUAUGCUAAUGGAUGGGAUGAUUAUUAAGAUAAAUGCCUUGUGUAGGAAACCAGACUUAAUUAUAAUAUCUACAAUCAGUCACCGGUCAGCCUAGAAGUUAUAAUUUAUUGUUCUCUAAUUUGCCUUUAUUACCAAAGAUAUUUAACUUAAAGGGAUUAUUUAAAAAAAAAAAAGUCUGAUUUGAAUGGUGAGCGUUUAGCAAACUUAAAAACUGUUUCUUUCAAACUUUUAUAAACUCCUCAUGUCUAAUUUUACGAACUAAUAUACCAGCAUGAGGGAGUCAUGUUUGUACUUGUUGUUUUAAAAAAUGGGAAAACUACUUCGUCAGAAGAAGUGAUGAAGGCUUUUCUUCCAGACCCACAUUUUUGGAACGCCAGGUCCUGACUCUGGGAUCCUGUUUAGAGCAAUUCAGAGAGAAGGCCAAACCCUCUUCUGUGGCGUCAUCUUUGGUCAGGGUACUGGUGUGGCCUUCCCUACUGCCAAGGAGAAAUACCUAGGACACGGGAAGACUUUAAGGCCGAGACUUCAGCUUACUCGAGGCUGCUGGUCCAGACCACCAUCAACUAUGCAUCAGGCCCUGAGUGUCCAGGGCUUUGCUCUGAAGUUCCACAGAGCAGCAAGAAGACACACAACUGGAGCUUUCUUUCCCUUGUAUUAUUUUCUUCUCUGCACACCUGCAACGUACUCAGGACCCAACUCUGCACAGCGCUGUAGGGACGAGUUCUGCUAACCAGAAAUCCCCUAUAGAAGAUCACAGAUUUGUCCAUUUUUGCCUUCAGCUCGUCAAUUGAUUUGAUAAUUGCCUGGGAGACAUACACAGGCAUACAGACACACAAAGCAAAUGUCGGGCCACAGGCUUUUUUCCUCGACAGUGGGAUGAAGAUGUUUUACUUACUGGAACUCAGAUGUCACCUGGAAGAAUAAGAGGAGGUACUGGGGAGAAAAAGAGAAAGGAAUGGAGACGGCAUGGUGUGGGAGGCAGGUGGUCCCCCUUGGUUACCAAGUGUGAUGACUCUCCCGAAUAUGACAAUAAAUCACGGCAGGAAUCAAUCUGUCGGGAGGCUACUGCUCCAUGCUGAUAAUGCAUCAAUCAAUAUUUAAUGUUUACACUUUAAUUAAUCCACACACGGGAAGCAUUCUUUCAGUGACAAAAAUAAAGGGAUGAGAAAUAAAACACCUUUUAUAUCAAGGA
Molecule: long non-coding RNA, 3752 nt
Organism: Peromyscus leucopus (white-footed mouse)
Lineage: Eukaryota; Metazoa; Chordata; Mammalia; Rodentia; Cricetidae
Exons: 3
Source: RefSeq, a predicted model, not a curated record